UACGUAGGUGGCAAGCGUUGUCCGGAAUUGUUGGGCGUAAAGAGCUCGUAGGCGGUUUGUCGCGUCUGCUGUGAAAACUCGGGGCUUAACUCCGGGCCUGCAGUGGGUACGGGCAGACUAGAGUGCGGUAGGGGAGACUGGAAUUCCUGGUGUAGCGGUGAAAUGCGCAGAUAUCAGGAGGAACACCGGUGGCGAAGGCGGGUCUCUGGGCCGUAACUGACGCUGAGGAGCGAAAGCGUGGGGAGCGAACAGG
This 253-nucleotide ribosomal RNA is filed under the name uncultured bacterium. Its description in RNAcentral is "partial 16S ribosomal RNA". It matches the Rfam family "Bacterial small subunit ribosomal RNA", at positions 524 to 776 of the family's 1533-position model. The record is from RNAcentral.